UGCUGAAGCCCCUAUAGCCUGUCGUGCUCCUUUCUCAUCUGGCUUUCCAGGGGUCCCACGCGAGUCCUGCUCCUGGUCCUCUGCUCUGAACAUUUGUCUGUCGUAGCACGAGGCACAAUGGCAUCCCUUAUCUGAUCUUCAGAUUUGAGACCUAAUUUUCUGGAAAGAUACCACUGAACACUGAUCUUGAACCAGGAGAAACAGACCUUAUACUGCUCUCUGAACCACCAUAUUGCCGCAAAACUAUGUGGAGUACAACCUUGGGUUUCUGUUUCAUAACUAAAAAAAUUAAAAGCCCUGUUCUGAAUGGAAAUCCAUUCUAGGGGGAGGUUUUAAACUGAGGGUCCGUGAAAGCCCCCAGAAACAGAUGACACCACAAAGGAGACUGCUUUCACAAGACUCAGAACAGAACGUGAUCCAGCAGCCCCAGGAAAAACUGCCUCCAGCUGAAUUUGUGCACAGGGUCAAAUCUGAGCCAGCAACUUCACAUGUGGACUAACGGUGGCACAGAUCU
Molecule: long non-coding RNA, 514 nt
Organism: Lontra canadensis (Northern American river otter)
Lineage: Eukaryota; Metazoa; Chordata; Mammalia; Carnivora; Mustelidae
Exons: 3
Source: RefSeq, a predicted model, not a curated record